Molecule: ribosomal RNA, 506 nt
Filed under: uncultured bacterium
Lineage: Bacteria
Description: bacterial SSU rRNA
Rfam family: Bacterial small subunit ribosomal RNA
Source: RNAcentral
CUACGUGCCAGCAGCCGCGGUAAUACGGAAGGUCCAGGCGUUAUCCGGAUUUAUUGGGUUUAAAGGGAGCGUAGGCUGGAGAUUAAGUGUGUUGUGAAAUGUAGACGCUCAACGUCUGAAUUGCAGCGCAUACUGGUUUCCUUGAGUACGCACAACGUUGGCGGAAUUCGUCGUGUAGCGGUGAAAUGCUUAGAUAUGACGAAGAACUCCGAUUGCGAAGGCAGCUGACGGGAGCGCAACUGACGCUUAAGCUCGAAGGUGCGGGUAUCAAACAGGAUUAGAUACCCUGGUAGUCCGCACAGUAAACGAUGGAUGCCCGCUGUUGGUACCUGGUAUCAGCGGCUAAGCGAAAGCAUUAAGCAUCCCACCUGGGGAGUACGACCGCAAGGUUGAAACUCAAAGGAAUUGACGGGGGCCCGCACAAGCGGUGGAGCAUGUGGUUUAAUUCGAAGCAACGCGAAGAACCUUACCAGGUCUUGACAUCCCUCUGACCGCUCUAGAGAUAG